This 483-nucleotide ribosomal RNA is filed under the name uncultured bacterium. RNAcentral describes it as "partial 16S ribosomal RNA". It matches the Rfam family "Bacterial small subunit ribosomal RNA", at positions 30 to 507 of the family's 1533-position model. The record is from RNAcentral.
AUUGAACGCUGGCGGCAGGCCUAACACAUGCAAGUCGAGCGGAUGAAGGGAGCUUGCUCCUGGAUUCAGCGGCGGACGGGUGAGUAAUGCCUAGGAAUCUGCCUGGUAGUGGGGGAUAACGUCCGGAAACGGGCGCUAAUACCGCAUACGUCCUGAGGGAGAAAGUGGGGGAUCUUCGGACCUCACGCUAUCAGAUGAGCCUAGGUCGGAUUAGCUAGUUGGUGGGGUAAAGGCCUACCAAGGCGACGAUCCGUAACUGGUCUGAGAGGAUGAUCAGUCACACUGGACCUGAGACAGGGUCCAGACUCCUACGGGAGGAAGCAGUGGGGAAUAUUGGACAAUGGGCGAAGGCCUGAUCCAGACAUGCGGCGGGUGUGAAGAAGGUCUUCGGAUGGUAAAGCACUUUAAGUUGGGAGGAAGGGCAGUAAGUUAAUACCUGCUGUUUUGACGUUACCAACAGAAUAAGCACCGGCUAACUUCGUG